This 75-nucleotide transfer RNA is filed under the name Betaproteobacteria bacterium RIFCSPLOWO2_02_FULL_63_19. RNAcentral describes it as "tRNA-Glu". It matches the Rfam family "tRNA". From Rfam's summary of the family: Transfer RNA (tRNA) molecules are approximately 80 nucleotides in length. Their secondary structure includes four short double-helical elements and three loops (D, anti-codon, and T loops). Further hydrogen bonds mediate the characteristic L-shaped molecular structure. tRNAs have two regions of fundamental functional importance: the anti-codon, which is responsible for specific mRNA codon recognition, and the 3' end, to which the tRNAs corresponding amino acid is attached (by aminoacyl-tRNA synthetases). tRNAs cope with the degeneracy of the genetic code in two manners: having more than one tRNA (with a specific anti-codon) for a particular amino acid; and 'wobble' base-pairing, i.e. permitting non-standard base-pairing at the 3rd anti-codon position. Lineage: Bacteria; Pseudomonadati; Pseudomonadota; Betaproteobacteria. The record is from RNAcentral.
UUUCCCGUCGUCUAACGGUCAGGACCGCGGCCCUUCAAGCCGCGUAUGCCGGUUCGAGUCCGGCCGGGAAUGCCA